RNAcentral lists this ribosomal RNA (497 nucleotides) under uncultured bacterium. RNAcentral's name for it is "partial 16S ribosomal RNA". It matches the Rfam family "Bacterial small subunit ribosomal RNA", at positions 28 to 507 of the family's 1533-position model. The record is from RNAcentral.
GAUGAACGCUGGCGGCGUGCCUAAUACAUGCAAGUCGAGCGAACGGACGAGACGCUUGCUUUUCUGAUGUUAGCGGCGGACGGGUGAGUAACACGUGGAUAACCUACCUAUAAGACUGGGAUAACUUCGGGAAACCGGAGCUAAUACCGGAUAAUAUUUUGAACCGCAUGGUUCAAAAGUGAAAGACGGUCUUGCUGUCACUUAUCGAUGGAUCCGCGCUGCAUUAGCUAGUUGGUAAGGUAAAGGCUUACCAAGGCAACGAUGCAUAGCCGACCUGAGAGGGGGAUCGGCCACACUGGAACUGGGACGCGGACCAGACGCCUACGGGAGGCAGCAGUAGGGAAUCUUCCGCAAUGGGCGAAAGCCUGACGGAGCAACGCCGCGUGAGUGAUGAAGGUCUUCGGAUCGUAAAACUCUGUUAUUAGGGAAGAACAUAUGUGUAAGUAACUGUGCACAUCUUGACGGUACCUAAUCAGAAAGCCACGGCUAACUACGUG